Mycena latifolia is the source of this 92-nucleotide non-coding RNA. NCBI's taxonomy places the organism in Eukaryota, Fungi, Basidiomycota, Agaricomycetes, Agaricales, Mycenaceae. The record is from the annotation of a GenBank genome assembly.
GGCCCAGUGGCGAAUGGUUUCCGCGCCUGCUCCCGAUAUCUAAAAUGCAAUGCGUUCUGCAGGAGUCGCUCGUUCGAUUCGAGCCUGGGCCA